GGGGAUUUAGCUCAGCGGCAUAAGCGCCUGCCUUGCAAGCAGGCAGUCGUGAUUUCGAUCCCCG
Molecule: transfer RNA, 64 nt
Organism: Cavia porcellus (domestic guinea pig)
Lineage: Eukaryota; Metazoa; Chordata; Mammalia; Rodentia; Caviidae
Rfam family: tRNA
About the family: Transfer RNA (tRNA) molecules are approximately 80 nucleotides in length. Their secondary structure includes four short double-helical elements and three loops (D, anti-codon, and T loops).
Source: Rfam